CUGAAACCUCCGCUUCCCGGCUUCAAUCUCCUGCCUCAGCCUCCUGGGUAGCUGGGAUUACAGGAGCGCGACGCCACGCCCGGCUAAUUUUUGUGUUUUUAGUAUUUAGUAUGAGGUUUCCCCAUGUUGGCCAGGCUAGUCUCGAACUCCUGACCUCGUGAUCCGCCCAGCUCGGCCUCCCAAAGGGCUGGGAUUACAGGCGUGAGCCACUGCGCCCGGCCUGCACUGACCCUUUCUUUCUCUGAUCUUUCAGCUCCUUGAGGAGAAUGACCAGCUGAUCCGCUGUAUUGUGGAGUAUCAGAACAAGGGCCGCGGGAACGAGUGCGUCCAGUACCAGCAUGUGUUACAUAGAAAUCUCAUUUAUUUGGCUACCAUUGCAGAUGCCAGUCCAACCAGCACUUCAAAAGCAAUGGAAUAAUCUUUCAAAAGCAAUAGAAUAAUUUUCCAUUUGGCUGUCGUGAGGAGUGAUUGAAUGUAAUCCAUCUCUUACAAAACGGAGACAGGGUCUUUACCAACUCAGCUGGUUAAAACAUGAAUGAAACCUCUGUGGCUCUUUCAAAACAUGUGAAAA
This 571-nucleotide small RNA is filed under the name Pongo abelii (Sumatran orangutan). Its description in RNAcentral is "retained intron". The record is from RNAcentral. Lineage: Eukaryota; Metazoa; Chordata; Mammalia; Primates; Hominidae.